GACGAACGCUGGCGGCGUGCUUAACACAUGCAAGUCGAACGGAAAGGCCCUGCUUUUGUGGGGUGCUCGAGUGGCGAACGGGUGAGUAACACGUGAGUAACCUGCCCUUGACUUUGGGAUAACUUCAGGAAACUGGGGCUAAUACCGGAUAGGAGCUCCUGCUGCAUGGUGGUGGUUGGACAGUUUCGGCGGUUGGGGAUGGACUCGCGACUUAUCAGCUUGUUGGUGGGGUAGUGGCUUACCAAGGCUUUAACGUGUAGCCGGCCUGAGAGGGCGACCGGCCACAUUUAGACUGAGAUACGGCCCAGACUCCUACUGGAGGCAGCAGUGGGGAAUAUUGCACAAUGGGCGGAAGCCUGAUGCAGCAACCCCGCGUGCGGGAUGACGGCCUUCGGGUUGUAAACCGCUUUCGCCUGAGACGAAGCGUGAGUGACGGUAAUGGGUAAAGAAGCACCGGCUAACUACGUG
Molecule: ribosomal RNA, 468 nt
Filed under: uncultured bacterium
Lineage: Bacteria
Description: partial 16S ribosomal RNA
Rfam family: Bacterial small subunit ribosomal RNA
Source: RNAcentral